UUUGAAGUCGGGCCUGCUCUAUGAUGUUUAAAUGGCUGCAGUAUAUUGACUGUACAAAGGUAGCAUAAUAAUUAGUUUUUUAAUUGAGAACUUGUAUGAAUGGUUUGAUGAGAAAAUUUCUGUCUCAGUUUUAGUUAAUUAGAAUUUAAUUUUUAAUUUAAAAAGAUUAAAUAUUUUAAAAAGACGAGAAGACCCUAUAGAGUUUUAUUAUUUUAUUUGAUGAGAAUUUAUGGAUUUGUUUAUUUUAUUUGAAUGUUUAAUUUUGUUGGGGUGAUAGAAAAAUUUAAUUAACUUUUUAUUAUAGUUACAUUAAUUUAUGAAUGUUUUGAUCAAUGUUUAAGAUUAAAAGAAAAAAUUACCUUAGGGAUAACAGCGUAAUUUAUUUUUAAAGUUCUAAUUGAAAAAUAAGAUUGCGACCUC
RNAcentral lists this ribosomal RNA (420 nucleotides) under Anaspis hayashii. RNAcentral describes it as "partial 16S ribosomal RNA". Lineage: Eukaryota; Metazoa; Arthropoda; Insecta; Coleoptera; Scraptiidae. The record is from RNAcentral.